GUAUUGUAAUUGAUUUGUUAAUAAAUAAAAUAUAUUUUUGGUAUUUUCAUCAUAAAUUUUUAUCUUCUAAUGAUCUCCGUUGUUGUGAUGAAGUCCUUAAGAUUAUUUAGAUUCAAUAAAGAGAGGAUUUAUCGAUUAGUUCUUAAAACUAUUCACGAUCAAAUGAUAGGCUGUUAAUAAGGACGAUAGCUUCUAUCGAGCAUAGAUCGCUGUAGGCCAUAUAGGUUGGUUGUCCUCUUAACCAAGGAG
RNAcentral lists this long non-coding RNA (249 nucleotides) under Elaeis guineensis (African oil palm). RNAcentral's name for it is "long non-coding RNA (EGUI_LNC065532)". Lineage: Eukaryota; Viridiplantae; Streptophyta; Magnoliopsida; Arecales; Arecaceae. The record is from RNAcentral.